AUUGAACGCUGGCGGCAGGCCUAACACAUGCAAGUCGAACGGUAACAGGAAACAGCUUGCUGUUUCGCUGACGAGUGGCGGACGGGUGAGUAAUGUCUGGGAAACUGCCUGAUGGAGGGGGAUAACUACUGGAAACGGUAGCUAAUACCGCAUAACGUCGCAAGACCAAAGAGGGGGACCUUCGGGCCUCUUGCCAUCGGAUGUGCCCAGAUGGGAUUAGCUUGUUGGUGGGGUAACGGCUCACCAAGGCGACGAUCCCUAGCUGGUCUGAGAGGAUGACCAGCCACACUGGAACUGAGACACGGUCCAGACUCCUACGGGAGGCAGCAGUGGGGAAUAUUGCACAAAGGGCGCAAGCCUGAUGCAGCCAUGCCGCGUGUAUGAAGAAGGCCUUCGGGUUGUAAAGUACUUUCAGCGGGGAGGAAGGGAGUAAAGUUAAUACCUUUGCUCAUUGACGUUACCCGCAGAAGAAGCACCGGCUAACUCCGUG
Molecule: ribosomal RNA, 490 nt
Filed under: uncultured bacterium
Lineage: Bacteria
Description: partial 16S ribosomal RNA
Rfam family: Bacterial small subunit ribosomal RNA
Source: RNAcentral